UUCCCGGGCCUUGUACACACCGCCCGUCACACCAUGGGAGUGGGUUGCAAAAGAAGUAGGUAGCUUAACCUCGGGAGGGCGCUUACCACUUUGUGAUUCAUGACUGGGGUGAAGUCGUAACAAGGUAACCGUAGGGGAACCUGCGGUUGGAUCACCUCCUUA
This 162-nucleotide ribosomal RNA is filed under the name Klebsiella pneumoniae. RNAcentral's name for it is "Small Subunit Ribosomal RNA; ssuRNA; SSU rRNA". It matches the Rfam family "Bacterial small subunit ribosomal RNA", at positions 1371 to 1533 of the family's 1533-position model. Lineage: Bacteria; Pseudomonadati; Pseudomonadota; Gammaproteobacteria; Enterobacterales; Enterobacteriaceae. The record is from RNAcentral.